Molecule: small RNA, 28 nt
Filed under: Bombyx mori (domestic silkworm)
Lineage: Eukaryota; Metazoa; Arthropoda; Insecta; Lepidoptera; Bombycidae
Description: ovarian small RNA-3736
Source: RNAcentral
UGCAAUGGUGGCACUUCAGCGUCGGCUC